GCAAGUCGAAUGCUUAGUUUACUAAGCAUGGCAAACGGGAGAGUAACACAUUGGUAAUCUACCCUGGUGACGAGAAUAACCAGAAGAAAUUCUGGAUAAUACUCGAUAAUAGUGGGGGGUCAUAUGACAUUCCUACUUAAAGUUCCGGCGCCCCGGGAGGAGCCUAUGGCCUAUCAGCUUGUUGGUGAGGUAAAAGCUCAACAAGGCAAUGACGGGUAGCGGGUGUGAGAGCAUGAAC
RNAcentral lists this ribosomal RNA (238 nucleotides) under uncultured bacterium. RNAcentral's name for it is "partial 16S ribosomal RNA". It matches the Rfam family "Bacterial small subunit ribosomal RNA", at positions 57 to 305 of the family's 1533-position model. The record is from RNAcentral.